CCAAUUUCCAGGUGGGUCUAUAUAAAAUUGGAUUGAUACAGAGAAGAUUAUCAUGGCCCCUGUGCAAGGAUGACACACAAAUUCAUGAAGUGUUCCAGAGUGAU
Small nuclear RNA from Myodes glareolus (Bank vole), 104 nucleotides. NCBI's taxonomy places the organism in Eukaryota, Metazoa, Chordata, Mammalia, Rodentia, Cricetidae. The record is from RefSeq and is a predicted model, not a curated record.